CCUACGGGAGGCAGCAGUGGGGAAUUUUGGACAAUGGGCGCAAGCCUGAUCCAGCAAUGCCGCGUGAGUGAAGAAGGCCUUCGGGUUGUAAAGCUCUUUUGUCAGGGAAGAAACGGUGGAGGUUAAUACCUUCUGCUAAUGACGGUACCUGAAGAAUAAGCACCGGCUAACUACGUGCCAGCAGCCGCGGUAAUACGUAGGGUGCAAGCGUUAAUCGGAAUUACUGGGCGUAAAGCGUGCGCAGGCGGUUGUGCAAGACAGAUGUGAAAUCCCCGGGCUCAACCUGGGAAUUGCAUUUGUGACUGCACGGCUAGAGUGUGUCAGAGGGGGGUAGAAUUCCACGUGUAGCAGUGAAAUGCGUAGAGAUGUGGAGGAAUACCGAUGGCGAAGGCAGCCCCCUGGGAUAACACUGACGCUCAUGCACGAAAGCGUGGGGAGCAAACAGGAUUAGAUACCCUGGUAGUCCACGCCCUAAACGAUGUCUACUAGUUGUCGGGUCUUAAUUGACUUGGUAACGCAGCUAACGCGUGAAAGUAGACCGCCUGGGGAGUACGGUUGCAAAGAUUAAAACUUAAAGGAAUUGACGGNUUGAGACGNGCGAGACGACACGAGGAGAGG
Molecule: ribosomal RNA, 618 nt
Filed under: uncultured bacterium
Lineage: Bacteria
Description: bacterial SSU rRNA
Rfam family: Bacterial small subunit ribosomal RNA
Source: RNAcentral